CACGUAGGGUGCAAGCGUUGUCCGGAUUCAUUGGGCGUAAAGGGCUAGUAGGCGGCUUAGCAAGUCGGGUGUGAAAUCUUCAGGCUUAACCUGGAGCGGCCAUCCGAGACUGCUAUGGCUAGAGUCCGGUAGGGGACCACGGAAUUCCUGGUGUAGCGGUGAAAUGCGCAGAUAUCAGGAGGAACACCGAUGGCGAAGGCAGUGGUCUGGGCCGGCACUGACGCUGAAUAGCGAAAGCGUGGGUAGCGAACAGG
RNAcentral lists this ribosomal RNA (254 nucleotides) under uncultured bacterium. Its description in RNAcentral is "partial 16S ribosomal RNA". It matches the Rfam family "Bacterial small subunit ribosomal RNA", at positions 524 to 776 of the family's 1533-position model. The record is from RNAcentral.